RNAcentral lists this ribosomal RNA (437 nucleotides) under uncultured bacterium. Its description in RNAcentral is "bacterial SSU rRNA". It matches the Rfam family "Bacterial small subunit ribosomal RNA", at positions 8 to 457 of the family's 1533-position model. The record is from RNAcentral.
AGAGUUUGAUCCUGGCUCAGAAUGAACGUUGGCGGCGUGGAUUAGGCAUGCAAGUCGGACGGGCCGCAAGGCCAGUGGCGCAAGGGUGAGUAAGGCGACGGUAACCAACCCCGCAGUUGGGCAUAGCCGGGGGAAACUCCGGGUAAUUCCCAGCGACGCGUCGGCCCGGCAUCGGGCGGACGCCAAAGGUUUACUGCUGUGGGGACGGGCCGUUGUGGUAUUAGCUUGUUGGCGGGGUGACGGCCCACCAAGGCUGCGAUGCCUACCGGGCGUGCGAACGUGGCCCGGCACACUGGGACUGAGACACUGCCCAGACUCCUACGGGAGGCUGCAGUCGAGAAUCUUCGGCAAUGGGCGCAAGCCUGACCGAGCGACGCCGCGUGGAGGAUGAAUGCCUUCGGGUUGUAGACUCCUGUCGAGGGGGAGGACGGGGCAAC